This 548-nucleotide ribosomal RNA is filed under the name uncultured bacterium. RNAcentral's name for it is "bacterial SSU rRNA". It matches the Rfam family "Bacterial small subunit ribosomal RNA", at positions 775 to 1308 of the family's 1533-position model. The record is from RNAcentral.
AGACAAUAGAUACCCGGGUAGUCCUGGCAGUAAACGGUGCACGUUUGGUGUGGGAGGAUUCGACCCCUUCUGCGCCGGAGCUAAACGCGUUAAACGUGCCGCCUGGGGAGUACGGUCGCAAGAUUAAAACUCAAAGAAAUUGACGGGGGCCCGGCACAAGCGGUGGAGUAUGUGGCUUAAUUCGAUGCAACGCGAAGAACCUUACCUGGCCUUGACAUGCAUCUCUAAGUUGGUGAAAGCCAGCGAGUCCCGAAAGGGACAAUUUGCACAGGUGCUGCAUGGCUGUCGUCAGCUCGUGUCGUGAGGUGUUGGGUUAAGUCCCGCAACGAGCGCAACCCCUGUGAACUGUUGCCACCGACCCGCGAGGGUCGAGCACUCUGUUCAGACUGCCCUGUGAAACGGGGGUAGGAAGGUGGGGACGACGUCAAGUCAGUAUGGCCCUUACGGCCAGGGCUGCACACGUACUACAAUGCCCAGUACAGAACGAUCCAAGACCGCGAGGUGGAGGAAAUCUAUCAAAACUGGGCCCAGUUCGGAUUGGAGUCUGC